GGGUAGCAAUAUUCUGUAGUCGGAGCGGCGCAAGGGUGCGUAACACGUGGGUAAUCUGCCAUGAAGUUUGGAAUAACUUGCUGAAAGGCGAGCUAAUGCCGGAUGUGACAAUUGGAUGGCAUCAUUUGAUUGUCAAAGCUGGGGACCGUAAGGCCUGGCGCUUCAUGAUGAGCCCGCGGCCUAUCAGCUAGUUGGUGAGGUAACGGCUCACCAAGGCUAAGACGGGUAGCUGGUCUGAGAGGACGACCAGCCACACUGGAACUGAGACACGGUCCAGACACCUACGGGUGGCAGCAGUCGAGAAUUUUUCACAAUGGGCGCAAGCCUGAUGGAGCGACGCCGCGUGGGGGAUGAAUGGCUUCGGCCCGUAAACCCCUGUCAUUUGCGAACAAAUUGGUUCAAUUAACACCUGAACCAUUGAUAGUAGCGAAAGAGGAAGGGACGGCUAACUCUGUGCCAGCAGCCGCGGUAAUACAGAGGUCCCAAGCGUUGUUCGGAUUCACUGGGCGUAAAGGGUGCGUAGGUGGUGAGGUAAGUCGGAUGUGAAAGCUCGGAGCUCAACUCCGAAAUGGCAUUGGAAACUACCUUGCUCGAGGGUUGGAGGGGGGACUGGAAUGCUUGGUGUAGCAGUGAAAUGCGUAGAUAUCAAGCGGAACACCAGUGGCGAAGGCGAGUCCCUGGACAACUCCUGACACUGAGGCACGAAAGCUAGGGGAGCAAACAGGAUUAGAUACCCUGGUAGUCCUAGCCGUAAACGGUGCACGUUUGCUGUAAAAGGAAUCGA
RNAcentral lists this ribosomal RNA (784 nucleotides) under uncultured Verrucomicrobiota bacterium. RNAcentral describes it as "bacterial SSU rRNA". It matches the Rfam family "Bacterial small subunit ribosomal RNA", at positions 74 to 835 of the family's 1533-position model. Lineage: Bacteria; Pseudomonadati; Verrucomicrobiota. The record is from RNAcentral.